Molecule: unclassified non-coding RNA, 1918 nt
Filed under: Leishmania donovani
Lineage: Eukaryota; Euglenozoa; Kinetoplastea; Trypanosomatida; Trypanosomatidae
Description: gene:LdHU3.21.0800(CDS-product:histone_deacetylas e_putative)
Source: RNAcentral
UCGGCCGAAGAGGGAGAGGGGAAAAAUCUCUCCCUCCUCCUUUUCCUCCUCCCCUUCUCCUCCCGUUAGGAGAGGGUUGGCGCUCACUUUUUUGCCUCUUAGAAAAAGGUGAGUGGGUGGGUGCAUCGCCAUGCACGCGGUGCACAAGGAUGAUGCCAGGGCACCGCUUUUGAAUAACGAAAGCCGCUGCCGCGUGGCGUUGAUUGACACCUCCGGCUACGCCUCCGACAUGAACAUCUCUGCCUUUGUGCCCCAGCACGCAAUGAAGCCGUAUCGUGUGCUUGCGGCAAUGGAGAUUGUGCGCAGCCUCAAGAUCGAUGCUCACUGCCGCACUGUCGUGCCGCCUCUGGUGAAGGUUGAGGAGCUGAUGGCAUACCAUACCGACACCUACCUCGCGAACCUAGGCCUGCACAGCUGCCGCAGCUGGUUGUGGAACGCGGAGACGUCGAAAGUUUUCUUUUCUGGAGACUGUCCUCCGGUCGAGGGGCUGAUGGAGCACUCCAUCGCUACAGCCAGCGGGACGUUGAUGGGAGCGGUACUACUCAAUAGCGGCCAGGUCGACGUGGCGGUGCACUGGGGUGGCGGAAUGCAUCAUUCAAAGUGCGGCGAGUGCUCCGGGUUCUGCUACGUGAACGACAUCGUGCUCGGUAUUCUCGAGCUUCUGAAGUGCCAUGACCGGGUUCUGUACGUCGACAUCGAUAUGCACCACGGCGACGGCGUGGAUGAGGCCUUCUGCACGAGUGAUCGCGUCUUUACACUCUCACUGCACAAAUUCGGUGAGAGCUUCUUCCCUGGCACGGGGCACCCGCGCGACGUCGGCUACGGUCGUGGACGCUACUACAGCAUGAAUUUGGCUGUAUGGGACGGCAUCACCGACUUCUACUACCUUGGCGUAUUUGAACAUGCGCUGCACUCCAUCGUGCGGCGCUACUCACCAGAUGUAAUUGUGCUCCAGUGCGGCGCCGACUCGCUCGCUGGUGAUCGCCUCGGCUUGCUUAACCUGUCGUCUUUUGGUCAUGGGCAGUGCGUGCAGGCGGUGCGUGAUCUCGGUAUUCCGAUGCUGGCGCUCGGUGGCGGCGGCUACACGAUUCGCAACGUCGCAAAGCUGUGGGCGUAUGAGACCAGUAUCUUGACUGGUCACCCACUACCGCCGAACACGGUGCUCCCGGUUGCUGAGAUGCCGCUGAGCGGGUGGCUCUUUCAGGACUCACCCCUGCUGAUUGUCGCGCAGGACCGCAGCAAUCACGUCUUACCAGGGCUUCACUGCCAGCGUGCGUACCAGAUGAUGACGGAGCAAAUCGACCGCCACGUGCCGCACAUUCAACCGCAUCCGCGGCUGCAAAAGGCGUCCACCGAAGCAGCAGCAGUGGACAAGCAGGUGGAGGACGGCACGACAGCCGUCGAAGAUUUCAAGCGACAGUAAAUCCAACAAGGAAGUACGGAGGGGAGGGGGGCUGCGAGUCACAAGGCACACACUCGGGAAACCGUUAGAUUCACCACCACAAGCGUGAAUCGACGACGCUGGCAAUCAACGAAGCAGCGCUCAGAGCAAGGGUAUCGUAUUGUCUGAAGGUGCUGACGCAGCGAAAUCGGGAAAAAAGGGGAGCGACUCACUGCUCACAAGGUCGUACAGAAAGGCGCAAGCGUUAACGUUGCUGCAAAACCUGCCAGGGGUGAGGACUCCCAGAAGGGAGGGGGCAGAGGUAUGCUGAGGCAGUGGUUAAUCUUUCUUUCUGCUGCUUGCUUGCAUGCGCACGCCUGCGCUCGACACGUGUAUGUCUUUUUCUUUUUUUCGCGUGUCCUUGGUGUUCUCGUUCUACCAAACUCUCGAGGGCAGCACAUCCUCCCUCCUUCGAUGGUGAUCUCCACCUUGUCUCUUUCUCUUCCCUCCCUUUUCUUGUUUUUUUUUUCGAGUUAG